RNAcentral lists this ribosomal RNA (159 nucleotides) under Malus angustifolia. RNAcentral describes it as "5.8S ribosomal RNA". It matches the Rfam family "5.8S ribosomal RNA". From Rfam's summary of the family: 5.8S ribosomal RNA (5.8S rRNA) is a component of the large subunit of the eukaryotic ribosome. It is transcribed by RNA polymerase I as part of the 45S precursor that also contains 18S and 28S rRNA. Lineage: Eukaryota; Viridiplantae; Streptophyta; Magnoliopsida; Rosales; Rosaceae. The record is from RNAcentral.
GACUCUCGGCAACGGAUAUCUCGGCUCUCGCAUCGAUGAAGAACGUAGCGAAAUGCGAUACUUGGUGUGAAUUGCAGAAUCCCGUGAACCAUCGAGUCUUUGAACGCAAGUUGCGCCCGAAGCCAUCCGGCCGAGGGCACGCCUGCCUGGGCGUCACAC